This 465-nucleotide ribosomal RNA is filed under the name uncultured bacterium. RNAcentral's name for it is "partial 16S ribosomal RNA". It matches the Rfam family "Bacterial small subunit ribosomal RNA", at positions 338 to 795 of the family's 1533-position model. The record is from RNAcentral.
CCUACGGGAGGCAGCAGUAGGGAAUCUUCCACAAUGGGCGAAAGCCUGAUGGAGCAACGCCGCGUGGGUGAAGAAGGUCCUCGGAUCGUAAAACCCUGUUUUUAGAGAAGAAAGGGCGUGAGAGUAACUGUUCACGUUUCGACGUUAUCUAACCAGAAAGCCACGGCUAACUACGUGCCAGCAGCUGCGGGAAUACGUAGGUGGCAUGCGUUAUCCGGAUUUAUUGGGGGUAAAGGGAACGCAGGUGGUCUUUUAAGUCUGAUGGGAAAGCCUUCGGCUUAACCGGAGUAGUGCAUUGGAAACUGGGAGAGUUGAGUGCAGGAGAGGAGAGUGGAACUCGAGGUGUAGCGGUGAAAUGCGUAGAUAUAUGGAAGAACACCAGUGGCGAAAGCAGCUCUCUGGUCUGUAACUGACGCUGAGGUUCGAAAGCGUGGGUAGCAAACAGGAUUAGAUACCCUGGUAGUC